UACGUAGGGGCAAGCGUUGUCCGGAUUCAUUGGGCGUAAAGAGCGUGUAGGCGGCCAGGUAGGUCGGUUGUGAAACUGGAGGCUCAACCUUCAGACGUCGACCGAAACCAUCUGGCUAGAGUCCGGGAGAGGAGAGUGGAAGUUCCGUGGUUGUAGCGGUGAAAUGACGCAGAUAUCAGGAGGAACACCGGUGGCGAAGGCGGUCUCUGGCAGUAACUGACGCUGAGGAGCGAAAGCGUGGGGAGCGAACAGG
RNAcentral lists this ribosomal RNA (253 nucleotides) under uncultured bacterium. Its description in RNAcentral is "partial 16S ribosomal RNA". It matches the Rfam family "Bacterial small subunit ribosomal RNA", at positions 524 to 776 of the family's 1533-position model. The record is from RNAcentral.